Molecule: ribosomal RNA, 253 nt
Filed under: uncultured bacterium
Lineage: Bacteria
Description: partial 16S ribosomal RNA
Rfam family: Bacterial small subunit ribosomal RNA
Source: RNAcentral
UACGGAGGGUGCAAGCGUUAUCCGGAUUCACUGGGUUUAAAGGGUGCGUAGGCGGGUUGGUAAGUCAGUGGUGAAAUCUUCAAGCUUAACUUGGAAACUGCCGUUGAUACUAUCAAUCUUGAAUAUCGUGGAGGUAAGCGGAAUAUGUCAUGUAGCGGUGAAAUGCUUAGAUAUGACAUAGAACACCAAUUGCGAAGGCAGCUGGCUACACAAAUAUUGACGCUGAUGCACGAAAGCGUGGGGAUCAAACAGG